CGCGACGUAGCUCAGCUGGAUAGAGCGCCUCGCUUCGACAUAGUAGUAAACAGCGCACCUACUAUGGGUGAGGAGGCCGCGGGUUCAAGUCCUGCCGUCGCGCCCA
Molecule: transfer RNA, 106 nt
Filed under: Mesorhizobium sp. M9A.F.Ca.ET.002.03.1.2
Lineage: Bacteria; Pseudomonadati; Pseudomonadota; Alphaproteobacteria; Hyphomicrobiales; Phyllobacteriaceae
Description: tRNA-Arg
Rfam family: tRNA
About the family: Transfer RNA (tRNA) molecules are approximately 80 nucleotides in length. Their secondary structure includes four short double-helical elements and three loops (D, anti-codon, and T loops). Further hydrogen bonds mediate the characteristic L-shaped molecular structure. tRNAs have two regions of fundamental functional importance: the anti-codon, which is responsible for specific mRNA codon recognition, and the 3' end, to which the tRNAs corresponding amino acid is attached (by aminoacyl-tRNA synthetases). tRNAs cope with the degeneracy of the genetic code in two manners: having more than one tRNA (with a specific anti-codon) for a particular amino acid; and 'wobble' base-pairing, i.e. permitting non-standard base-pairing at the 3rd anti-codon position.
Source: RNAcentral